RNAcentral lists this long non-coding RNA (1199 nucleotides) under Glycine max (soybean). RNAcentral describes it as "long non-coding RNA (GMAX_LNC002578)". Lineage: Eukaryota; Viridiplantae; Streptophyta; Magnoliopsida; Fabales; Fabaceae. The record is from RNAcentral.
UUUUGUUAUUUGUUAAAGACAAUUUUUAAAAUGGUCUCAAUCAUUACAUGCACCGUGCAAAAUUUCUAGCAAAUUUGCAAUGCAAUACACAUGAAGCAUAUAUGUUGUCAAACCACCAACGAUUUUAGUUCAUAUAUAUAUAUAUACACACACACACACAAAAUGCAUUAAAUUAUAUUAAUUAGUCUCUAAUCAUCGACCAUGCAAAUAUUUGUGAAGCAGAAUAUCUUUGUUGUUUGGCUUUGCAGGUUAAAGAUGGCCAUCCCCAAAGGCACCACUAUUGGCUUAGCAUCUAUUAUUGUGAUUAUAGCAUUAAUUCUCCACCAAACCGUGGCACAAGCUGUGUCUCCCAAUGGUUCCGUUGCAAGUAAUAUAAAGUGCUUUUGUUAGAAGAUCUCUACGAUCUUAAUAUAUUAUUAUCCCAGUUGUUCUGCAAUUGUCAAAAUUAAGAUUACAAAACCAUGAACAAUUUCAUGAUUGAUGAAUUUAGGUUCAAAUCUUCAUUGGGAGAGAUGCACACAUCUAGUGUCUGACCUGUCCCUAACAAGAUUUUCUACUGAUCAACAUUAUUUUACUAAAUAAAAUGUAGAGAAUGCAUUGUUGAUUGCUGUCCAAUUUUGCAUUUGAUGGUUGACAAGCUUUUUUUUAUAAAAAAAAAUAGUGCAUGUCAUGUUUAGUUUUAUCAAAAUACUGUAACUUUUGAAUUACUUACUAAGUUAGAUCAAAUUGUAUUUGGAAAAUACGAAGUAUAUACAAAUAAGUCAUAUCUGAUGAGUAUGACUAUCAAAUUAUAAGUUUUAUGCAAUCUUAUUUCGCAAAUACGACUUUAUAAUAUUUUAAUUAUAAAGAACAAAGACCUUCAUAUCAAAUAAGAGUUUCACUUUUUUUAAUACAUAACUUAGUCUCACCAAAUACAACUUACUUUGACUUGGUAAAUAAUUUAAAACUUGCAACAGAAUUGGUAAAAUUGAACACAAAUUAUACUAGUUUGAUUAAAAAAAAAGGCAUCACAAGUUAUACAAUAUGAUUUUGUGUCUUGUAUCCCCCACUACAACGCCUAAUAUGUGUUCAAGUUUCCUGUGUAUCCUAGUUUUUAAAUGACCUGACAGGAGCAUAUUAUUUGGAACAGAUAAUGUAUCAAAACCCAUUAAGCCGGACAAUACUGUUAGAGUAGAUCCAUUAGAUCAUUUAAAAAAAUA